Molecule: long non-coding RNA, 3642 nt
Organism: Numida meleagris (helmeted guineafowl)
Lineage: Eukaryota; Metazoa; Chordata; Aves; Galliformes; Numididae
Exons: 2
Source: RefSeq, a predicted model, not a curated record
AAAAAGGCUUAAACUUUCAGUUCAGUACUAAUUAAUGUUCUUCUGGGAUGCUGAUAUUGAUGUUCUUUCAUCUUAAAACUUUGCAAAACGCUUUCUGUUGAAAUGUACGUAAGCCUUCAGCAAACACCCAUAACAACCACAAAGAUCCACUCUGCGUUACUAUAAAAGGCUCUAAAGUUUAGGCAGGCUUCAGGUUAUCUGCUUCCACUACAUGCUAGGUCAGAAAACUACAUUUAGAAUACCUUUGACACUUCACAUAAGAUGUGGUACAGCUUUUUUUUAAUUAAAAAAAAGUGUUCUGCCUGAAAAUUAUACUUGGGCAAGCCUGUGCUGGUACAUCACAACCUUGUGAGUGCAUCUGAUUGCUGCACUUGGAACCUUACACCUGCCCUGCAAAAAAAGGGACUUUCAGUAACAAGCGUGCUUAAUAUAUGUAUGCUUAUAAACUUCUCUCAAACUAACUUUUAACGCAGCUAAGCACUGACUAAUUUUUUUUUUGUAUUAAAUUUGUGUUUGGGUGCAUCUUUCUCCCGGAACAGCAGAGCCACCACCUCUGCCUGCCUGCUUUUGUUGAUUUCUCUGUGAGCCGCUGACGCAGAGGCACAAUGAGGGAGCUCAGAGGAUUUCUCCUGCCACACAGGGCUGGCCUCCAGCCUGCACCAGCAGCAUUCAGAACUGCUCAGCUGUGAAAGCCGCCGCUCCCUCUGAAGCUCAACAGCCUUUAGAAGAAACGCUGGGUUGUAUUUAGAAGAAAUAUACGCGUUAAUAUAUCACGGGAAGCAAUGCAGCGUGUUGGUGGUCACGAGCAAGGAGCCACUGGGACACAGCUAUGAGAGGAACCCAGGGCAACGCAGAGGGAGCAGCUCUCUCCUGCCAACUUCUGACAGACGUGCCCACACCUCACCCACAACGCUGGGAGUUUCGGUACGCGUUCUGCGACAAACGUAUCGCAGCGCUGAGCUUCCAGCUGUGGAAAUUAAACAAAAUCAAGGGGAACCCGAGGCUGCCAGCCUCCCAGCGACGCCCAGAGGAAUGCCUGCCUGCUAACUUUGGCAGAAGCAGAACUUCUCCAGCCGAAAGCUGAGUGCGCUCUGCCAGCGCAGCAGCCAGAAAUGACGGCCGUGGCUCAGAGCAGCCCAGCGCCGCGACAGGGGACAACUUACGGAGGAAAGACGAACACAAAGCACCAAGUGCGCCAACCCGACACGCUCAGGGGAAAGUUGAACUUAAGAUCCAUACAAACAUAAGGAAAAACUUUAGAGUGCAACAGAACGCUGGAACAGGAUGCCCAGAGAGGUGGUGGAAUUUCCUGUGGAGACACUCAAGACUCAUCUGGACGCUUUCUUGCAUACCCACUGUAGGGAAUGUGCUUUAGCAGGAGGAUGAACUGGAUGAUCUCCAGAGGUCUCUUCCAACCUCUACAAUUCUGUGAUUCUAUUGAGUUUUAUACCUCUCAUAUACACGUUAUCACUCUCUACACCUACCUGAAAGGAGGUUGUAGCAGAGUGGGGGCAGCCCUUUAUUCCCAGUUAAUUAGUGAAAGAACCAGAGGUCAUGGCCUCAGAUUGUGCCAGGGGAGGUUCAGGUUGGAUAUCACGGAAAAUUUCUCCAACCACUCCAAAAGAGUGGUAAUGCAUUGGCACAGGCUGCCCAGGGAGGUGGUAGGAUCACUGUCCCUGGAGGUGUUCAAGAACCGUAGGGAUAUGGCACUGAGGGACGUGGUCAGUGGGCAUGGUGAGGUGGGUGGAUGGUUGGACUAGAUGAUCCUAGAGGUCUUUUCCAACCUGAAUGAUUCUAUGGUUCUGCUGAGUGAGUUCUAUACCUCUCAUAUACAUAUAUAAAUAUAUCUGUACGUACAAGGAAUGUAUCACAAGGCUAUCAUACCACUGUUGAAAAAAUGUAAGGCAUUUACAAAUUCUGCUUGGUAAAAUGUCAUAAAGGUGUUCUGCAGUGCUGAACAUAAUUUACUUUCAAUAUCUUAAGUACAUUUGUUCAAUUUCAUUGAACACACAAGCUUAAUAAUAAGUGCAAGACCUGCCUUGGGGCCCUUUCUGCAAAAAUUGUAUUAGACUCAAGGUAAGCACAGGAAAAGGCAAGAUUGGACUUUACCUGGUGUAAUGUUGCAGGCUUCUCAACUGCAAUCAAGUAUUGAUUUAGAAGAUUAGGUCUAUUACUGCAAAUCAGAGUACAGCUGGAGACAUGCUGACCUACUACAAUAGGAAUUGGUGUCCUAGUGAAUUUAGUGGUUCCUUAAUAGCUCUUCUAAGUGCAGCUGUUUUCCCUUAGGACUGAAACUUGACAAAGCAUGGGAGUAAGAAAAAUAAAAGGAAAAUUUGUAUCUUCAACUCCAGUAUAGCAUAAAAAAUCCUUUUUUUUUUCUUAAAAAGUGGAUAUUUUUUAAGUUGGUAUUGUUACAAUCAAGCCUUCACUGAAAUCCUUGUAGACUAUGCACUUUAUAAGGCUUAUUCUCUGGCAAGAAACAGUAUACAAGAUGAACAGAAGCAAAUGGUCCUUUUCUUACUGUGUAGGAAACAGAAGCAAAGAGUCCGGGCUGAGUUCACUGAAAAACACUGUAACAGAGUAUUCAUGAGAUGAAUAUAACCAUCUCAUGCCCCUUUGUCAGGAGAGAUUGGAUGCACUGGUGUGGAAGACAGUAACAACCCCUGAACUUGUUUUAUAAUGUAGGAGCGAAUCUCAACUACGACAAAGUAAAGCACUGUUCCAGCUGUCUCCAUCCAGCUGUCAGGGUUGUAGAAGAACUGCUGCACAUGGUGUAGCUAAAAACAAUCAGAAAUAUAAUUUUGAAGGAAUAUUUUAAUCCAAGGUUAACCCAUGCCAGAGGAAAACAGCAGCUACCUAUAAUUAAACACAUCAGCUAUAUUGAUUGACCUUUACUUGAGAUAGCAGUUGUUGCCUGAAGCCUUUGCAGUAAUAUACACAUAUCCAUAUGGCUGUAACAGAAUGAGAGGGAAAUGGGAUUGUAAAAUAGAACAUGGUAUGGUCACUCUGUGCUCGGCAAUUCUGCUGACAUGACAGCACAUUCCUCUGCGCUGUGUCCUUGUCCCUUGUGCUCCUUGCAGGGAUGUUAAAUGCUCCAGGCUGCCACACUGGAAGAAAUAGCUUCGGGAGCUCAUGUUGCUGGAAAGGUAGUGCAAUGGGAAAAUGAGUUCAUCGUUUUAUGGGAGACGUUGCCUGAAUCAGCAUUCGUGAAGAGGGUGUUACCCCCGUGCAGUGAAGUAUCCACACAUGCAGCUGGGCCAUUGGAGUGUAAAUUCACAGCAAAGUGAAUAUAGCUUCAAUUUUAAAAAAUUCCAUAGAAUGCAUAAAGCCAUGAAAAACUCAAGACAGCCUGAGCAACUGUUAGUACCAGAUAACACACAUUUGGAAAUAACAUAUGAUGUGAAUUCUCAAAACAAAGACACUUCUAAGUGAAAUUAAGAUGUGGUAGUGUAAUUUAUGAGAUCGUUCUUGGACGCGUAACAAGAAAACUUAUUUUUGAAGCUAAGAUUGUGUGUGAGGAGAGAUUUAUGAGCGAAUGUUUCCAAUGGACUCUCCAUGUGACCUUAAUGAAGUUUAUUAUGCAUUCAUAUACUCCUAAUGCUUAUCUGCAAAUGUGUUAAUAAAUGCUUAUUUAUACUGUAA